This 1650-nucleotide long non-coding RNA is filed under the name Acromyrmex echinatior (Panamanian leafcutter ant). Its description in RNAcentral is "uncharacterized LOC105146806". Lineage: Eukaryota; Metazoa; Arthropoda; Insecta; Hymenoptera; Formicidae. The record is from RNAcentral.
AUUAUUGUUAUUAUCAUGUCAUCAUCCUAUUGAAAAAAAAAAAAACAUGAAUAUUUAAAACAAAACAUGAACGUGGGAGAAAUUUUGGUACUUUGGAAAAUAUGCGAUAAUGGAACCUGAGGCCCAUUGCCAUUGUUAAUUUGCGCAAGCAGUGAUUCAAUAAACUUGUAUCAUAACAGACAAACGUCUCUGGUAAUUGAUACUCUCUUUUGCUAUGCCCGGAUGAUUGUCAUCCACGUCGUAAAAGCAAAAGAACGCGAACAAGAUCGACGACUUUAAUUGUCGCAAUGACACACAGAUUUAUCGUGUAAGCAAAUCGAGAAUACACAGAAUGGUACUUUCCAUUAUUCUUACACAUAUGAUAUGUAGGCAUACACGUAUAUACACUUCUUACGUAUAUACACGUAUAUACAUUUCUUUCCAAAGCACGGGUGAAAAUCGCAACGUAACCGAAUGAUGAUUUACGUCGUACUUUUACGUCGUAACGUGCAGAGAGUUGCUAAUCACAUUCAUUAAAGUAAAUGUUUUUCUCGCACGUAUACGGCGCACGUAUUUACAAAUCGACGAAUCAAGAACUUCGCAGUUGCCGAUCUGCGUAGUUCUCGAAGCUGAUAUUAAGGUGAUAUUUUGCAAUGAACGUCGUCAUGUUGUCGGCAAGUAAAUAAAUGCCGCAAUUAAAAAUGCUUACGGUAGCAACGUAAUUUUCUCGGUUGAGAAAACAACCGAGGAGAGACGACUUCCGGAGAAUUACAAGGAAUUUACAUCGCUAACACGAUUGUUAAGAAGACGUCUCAGGAAACGGUCUCGAAAGAGGGAACGUUUUUUCCUCGCUGGUUAAAACUGAAUCAGUCGACGAGGAUCGGCACGGCAAAAUUGAAAGUAAAUCGGCGGUGCAUCCUUCCACCGCGUGAGCAUGAACAUGAUGUCGCUAUUUGCGCGAUUGUGCUGUUGCGUCACACAUCGAGUGAGACUGCGUCUCUAUUACCGGUGUCAACGUCAUUCGAGUCAGCGAAUAAGUAUCAGGCGAAAUGUGAUCGCGAAAGAUAGUUCCAAUGAAUAGCCAUAAUAUCGACUGCGAGCAUAAUCAGUGAGCGACGAUAUUUUUAUUUAAUGAUAGUUUUUCCAAAUCGUGGGAAGAGCUCAAAUCAGAAAAAAAAACGCAGCAUCGUGAAAAGAGAUCUAAAAUCCGGGCAUUAUCGGCACCACGCAGCAAACGAUAAAAGGCGCGGCCGAUAACCCAAACAAGAAUAGAAUUUUACUCGUAACGCUGUGGAGCAAUGACAUAACGAAGAAAAAACGGAGAAGAACGGAGAAGAAGAACAGACAAGAAAAAAGAAAUGUAUACAUCAUGAUAAAUAUUCAAGCGAUUAAGACGCAGCAAAGUUCGGCCGCCCUGUUUCCACACGGCAAUAAAGACAUUAUCUAUCGAUUCACGUCGUUCGUAUAAGCGCCUUGCAUUGUAAAAUAAUCCGGCAUUUUCUGGGUCAUUAACCGCAGUAUCGAUCGCUUUGGUAUCUCGUCUCGAGGAAACACCAUGCAAAGCGAGCACUCGUCGACUUUUUACUACUCAUUUUUAGCCUAAAACGAAAGAAUAGAAAUAUCCCGUUAUUAAAAUACAAAUCCCGUUAUUAAAAAAAAUUUAUUUAUGAA